AGACCCGAAACCCGGUGAUCUAGCCAUGGGCAGGUUGAAGGUUGGGUAACACUAACUGGAGGACCGAACCGACUAAUGUUGAAAAAUUAGCGGAUGACCUGUGGCUGGGGGUGAAAGGCCAAUCAAACCGGGAGAUAGCUGGUUCUCCCCGAAAGCUAUUUAGGUAGCGCCUCGUGAAUUCAUCUCCGGGGGUAGAGCACUGUUUCGGCUAGGGGGUCAUCCCGACUUACCAACCCGAUGCAAACUGCGAAUACCGGAGAAUGUUAUCACGGGAGACACACGGCGGGUGCUAACGUCCGUCGUGAAGAGGGAAACAACCCAGACCGCCAGCUAAGGUCCCAAAGUCAUGGUUAAGUGGGAAACGAUGUGGGAAGGCCCAGACAGCCAGGAUGUUGGCUUAGAAGCAGCCAUCAUUUAAAGAAAGCGUAAUAGCUCACUGGUCGAGUCGGCCUGCGCGGAAGAUGUAACGGGGCUAAACCAUGCACCGAAGCUGCGGCAGCGACACUGUGUGUUGUUGGGUAGGGGAGCGUUCUGUAAGCCUGUGAAGGUGGCCUGUGAGGGUUGCUGGAGGUAUCAGAAGUGCGAAUGCUGACAUAAGUA
RNAcentral lists this ribosomal RNA (600 nucleotides) under Salmonella enterica. RNAcentral's name for it is "partial 23S ribosomal RNA". It matches the Rfam family "Bacterial large subunit ribosomal RNA", at positions 711 to 1308 of the family's 2925-position model. The record is from RNAcentral. RNAcentral also lists the same sequence under 1 other name. Lineage: Bacteria; Pseudomonadati; Pseudomonadota; Gammaproteobacteria; Enterobacterales; Enterobacteriaceae.